Long non-coding RNA from Mus musculus (house mouse), 600 nucleotides. RefSeq annotates it as predicted gene, 40153. The transcript has 3 exons. NCBI's taxonomy places the organism in Eukaryota, Metazoa, Chordata, Mammalia, Rodentia, Muridae. The record is from RefSeq and is a predicted model, not a curated record.
AGAGGAGAUAGGAAGGCUGAACUUCCAGUCUUAGCCAGGGGUCCCAUGGAGAGGGAAGUAGAGGAAGGCCAUGAGGAAAAGAGAAAAGAUGUUAGCGAUGUUAGCGAUACCACGUGAAGAGACCAGAGGAGGCUAUGAGGCAGUGGGGGAAUUCUGAUGAGCAGGCUGCCAGGGGAUUCACCAUAAGGACACACUUGGAGCAAAGCAAGCCAAGUGUUGAAGCCUGGGCUCUCCCUCAAACUUGCUGUGUAGCCAGUGUACUAGUCUGCUGCCGCUCGGCUGUGAUAAGACAAGACCAAGAGUAACGUGGAGAAGAAAGUCCAGGUCUACCUGCCCAAGGAUGGAACUGCCCAUGAUGCGCUGGCCUCUCCUGUGUCAAUGAGUGGUCAAGAAAAUGCACAAGUCCACAGAACUAUCCAAUGGAAGCAGUUUUUCAGUUGAGGUUCCUUCUUCCAGAAGUGUCAUGUUACAAACAAAACUAACCAAAACAGCCAAUGGUGAUUGUACUUCCUCUAUUCUUAAGGCUCUAAGGUGGCAGUUAUGUGUCACCACAUCCAGCCCUAUUUGUUUUUCAUCUUCCCAGACUCUUAAAAUACAUGG